AUGUUUUCAUGGCUAAGCGAUUCUAGCACCAUUCAGCAAAUAGUUCACAAGCAAGCAGGCUGUAGAGGACAUGGCACUGGCCGUGUUCAACCGUGCCCUGAAGCUUUCUGGAGUAGGUCUGUGCCUCUGUGUGUGUCUUCUCUAACUUCAUAUCGCUGGAUCUAUGGAUCAUUCUGCACGUUGGGCUUGUUGCUGGCUGCUAGCCUGGCUUGUAAGAGGAUGCUCCCCUGCUCUGAGUCCAAGAUACUGAGGGAAAGUCUAACAUAUCCAGAGGCACCAAUUGGGAGAGGUACAACAUAUGCAUUUCAAAGAGAACUGGACUCCGCUAUUUCUGACUUCACCAAGGUUGAAAUUUUAAAUUCAGAAUUCAGAACAUUCCCUUUACCUUUGUGUAAAAUGACCUUAUGA
RNAcentral lists this ribosomal RNA (408 nucleotides) under Triticum aestivum (bread wheat). Its description in RNAcentral is "partial small subunit ribosomal RNA". The record is from RNAcentral. Lineage: Eukaryota; Viridiplantae; Streptophyta; Magnoliopsida; Poales; Poaceae.